RNAcentral lists this small RNA (29 nucleotides) under Bombyx mori (domestic silkworm). Its description in RNAcentral is "ovarian small RNA-20353". The record is from RNAcentral. Lineage: Eukaryota; Metazoa; Arthropoda; Insecta; Lepidoptera; Bombycidae.
UACAUAACAAACACUGCACUCCUCCCUCA